GACGAACGCUGGCGGCGUGCUUAACACAUGCAAGUCGAACGGAAAGGCCCUGCUUUUGUGGGGUGCUCGAGUGGCGAACGGGUGAGUAACACGUGAGUAACCUGCCCUUGACUUUGGGAUAACUUCAGGAAACUGGGGCUAAUACCGGAUAGGAGCUCCUGCUGCAUGGUGGGGGUUGGAAAGUUUCGGCGGUUGGGGAUGGACUCGCGGCUUAUCAGCUUGUUGGUGGGGUAGUGGCUUACCAAGGCUUUGACGGGUAGCCGGCCUGAGAGGGUGACCGGCCACAUUGGGACUGAGAUACGGCCCAGACUCCUACGGGAGGCAGCAGUGGGGAAUAUUGCACAAUGGGCAGAAGCCUGAUGCAGCAACGCCGCGUGCGGGAUGACGGCCUUCGGGUUGUAAACCGCUUUCGCCUGUGACGAAGCGUGAGUGACGGUAAUGGGUAAAGAAGCACCGGCUAACUACGUGCCAGCAGCCGCGGUGAUACGUAGGGUGCGAGCGUUGUCCGGAUUUAUUGGGCGUAAAGGGCUCGUAGGUGGUUGAUCGCGUCGGAAGUGUAAUCUUGGGGCUUAACCCUGAGCGUGCUUUCGAUACGGGUUGACUUGAGGAAGGUAGGGGAGAAUGGAAUUCCUGGUGGAGCGGUGGAAUGCGCAGAUAUCAGGAGGAACACCAGUGGCGAAGGCGGUUCUCUGGGCCUUUCCUGACGCUGAGGAGCGAAAGCGUGGGGAGCGAACAGGCUUAGAUACCCUGGUAGUCCACGCUGUAAACGGUGGGUACUAGGUGUGGGGUCCAUUCCACGGGUUCCGUGCCGUAGCUAACGCUUUAAGUACCCCGCCUGGGGAGUACGGCCGCAAGGCUAAAACUCAAAGGAAUUGACGGGGCCCCGCACAAGCGGCGGAGCAUGCGGAUUAAUUCGAUGCAACGCGUAGAACCUUACCUGGGUUUGACAUGGAUCGGGAGUGCCCAGAGAUGGGUGUGCCUCUUUUGGGGUCGGUUCACAGGUGGUGCAUGGCUGUCGUCAGCUCGUGUCGUGAGAUGUUGGGUUAAGUCCCGCAACGAGCGCAACCCUUGUUCACUGUUGCCAGCACGUUAUGGUGGGGACUCAGUGGAGACCGCCGGGGUCAACUCGGAGGAAGGCGGGGAUGACGUCAAGUCAUCAUGCCCCUUAUGUUCAGGGCUUCACGCAUGCUACAAUGGCUGGUACAGAGAGUGGCGAGCCUGUGAGGGUGAGCGAAUCUCGGAAAGCCGGUCUCAGUUCGGAUUGGGGUCUGCAACUCGACCUCAUGAAGUUGGAGUCGCCAGUAAUCGCAGAUCAGCAACGCUGCGGUGAAUACGUUCCCGGG
RNAcentral lists this ribosomal RNA (1343 nucleotides) under uncultured bacterium. RNAcentral's name for it is "16S ribosomal RNA". It matches the Rfam family "Bacterial small subunit ribosomal RNA", at positions 28 to 1378 of the family's 1533-position model. The record is from RNAcentral.